UGAGGAAUAUUGCACAAUGGACGCAAGUCUGAUGCAGCAACGCCGCGUGGAGGAUGAAGGUCUUUGGAUUGUAAACUCCUUUUUUCAGGGAAGAGUGAGGACGGUACCUGAAGAAUAAGUCACGGCUAACUACGUGCCAGCAGCCGCGGUAAUACGUAGGUGGCAAGCGUUAUCCGGAAUUACUGGGCGUAAAGCGCACGCAGGCGGCUCUUUAAGUUUGACGUGAAAGCUCCCGGCUUAACUGGGAGAGGUCGUUGAAGACUGGAGGGCUUGAGGCAAGGAGAGGGGUGUAGAAUUCCCGGUGUAGUGGUGGAAUGCGUAGAUAUCGGGGGGAAUACCAGUGGCGAAAGCGGCACCCUAGCCUUAGCCUGACGCUCAGGUGCGAAAGCGUGGGGAGCGAACGG
This 404-nucleotide ribosomal RNA is filed under the name uncultured bacterium. Its description in RNAcentral is "bacterial SSU rRNA". It matches the Rfam family "Bacterial small subunit ribosomal RNA", at positions 355 to 775 of the family's 1533-position model. The record is from RNAcentral.